UCACUCUAAGCGGUGGAUCACUCGGCUCGUGUGUCGAUGAAGACGCAGCCAGGUGCGUGAAUUAAUGUGAAUUGCAGGACACAUUGAACAUCGAUAUCUUGAACGCACAUUGCGGCUCCGGUCACUCCCGGAGCCACGCCUGUCUGAGGGUCGGC
This 155-nucleotide ribosomal RNA is filed under the name Mizuhopecten yessoensis (Yesso scallop). Its description in RNAcentral is "partial 5.8S ribosomal RNA". It matches the Rfam family "5.8S ribosomal RNA". From Rfam's summary of the family: 5.8S ribosomal RNA (5.8S rRNA) is a component of the large subunit of the eukaryotic ribosome. It is transcribed by RNA polymerase I as part of the 45S precursor that also contains 18S and 28S rRNA. Functionally, it is thought that 5.8S rRNA may be involved in ribosome translocation. RNAcentral also lists the same sequence under 1 other name. The record is from RNAcentral. Lineage: Eukaryota; Metazoa; Mollusca; Bivalvia; Pectinida; Pectinidae.